This 466-nucleotide ribosomal RNA is filed under the name uncultured bacterium. RNAcentral's name for it is "partial 16S ribosomal RNA". It matches the Rfam family "Bacterial small subunit ribosomal RNA", at positions 338 to 795 of the family's 1533-position model. The record is from RNAcentral.
CCUACGGGUGGCAGCAGUGGGGGAUAUUGCACAAUGGGGGGAACCCUGAUGCAGCGACGCCGCGUGUGGGAAGACGGUCCUCUGGAUUGUAAACCACUGUCCCCAGGGAAGAACGGUCACUGUGCUAAUCAGCAGUGAAUUGACGGUACCUGCAAAGGAAGCACCGGCUAACUCCGUGCCAGCAGCCGCGGUAAUACGGAGGGUGCGAGCGUUAAUCGGAAUUACUGGGCGUAAAGCGCUCGUAGGCGGUAUGUCAAGUCAAGGGUGAAAUCCCCGCGCUCAACGUGGGAACUGCCUUUGAAACUGGCAAACUGGAGUGUGUGAGAGGAUAGUGGAAUUCCAGGUGUAGGAGUGACAUCCGUAGAUAUCUGGAGGAACAUCAGUGGCGAAGGCGACUAUCUGGCACAUAACUGACGCUGAGGAGCGAAAGUGUGGGUAGCAAACAGGAUUAGAUACCCGAGUAGUC